This 90-nucleotide non-coding RNA is filed under the name fish gut metagenome. RNAcentral describes it as "NiCo riboswitch". It matches the Rfam family "NiCo (Nickel/Cobalt) riboswitch aptamer". The record is from RNAcentral.
CAGUACAAUCUGAUCAGGCUAUGCGUCAAGCAUGAAGCCGGGCCACCUCUUGGCAACAGAAAGUCGUUAUAACGCUAUCUGUGGGACAGU